CCUACGUGAGGCAGCAGUGAGGAAUAUUGGUCAAUGGGCGCGAGCCUGAACCAGCCAAGUAGCGUGAAGGAUGACUGCCCUACGGGUUGUAAACUUCUUUUAUAAAGGAAUAAAGUGAGGCACGUGUGCCUUUUUGUAUGUACUUUAUGAAUAAGGAUCGGCUAACUCCGUGCCAGCAGCCGCGGUAAUACGGAGGAUCCGAGCGUUAUCCGGAUUUAUUGGGUUUAAAGGGAGCGUAGAUGGGUUGUUAAGUCAGUUGUGAAAGUUUGCGGCUCAACCGUAAAAUUGCAAUUGAUACUGGCAGUCUUGAGUACAGGUGAGGUAGGCGGAAUUCGUGGUGUAGCGGUGAAAUGCUUAGAUAUCACGAAGAACUCCGAUUGCGAAGGCAGCUUACUAAACUGCCACUGAUAUUGAUGCUCGAAAGUGUGGGUAUCAAACAGGAUUAGAUACCCUUGUAGUC
RNAcentral lists this ribosomal RNA (460 nucleotides) under uncultured bacterium. Its description in RNAcentral is "partial 16S ribosomal RNA". It matches the Rfam family "Bacterial small subunit ribosomal RNA", at positions 338 to 795 of the family's 1533-position model. The record is from RNAcentral.